GUCUUUGUUCCUCAAUAAGGGUUAAAUUAUAAUACCGGAGUGGAGAUUCAGGGCUUGUACCGCUGGUUGGUAAUAUUUAUUCUGCUCACAAGCCACAAAUAGCCUUAAUCCCAGGAAGUACAAUAGAUCAUUAGGGCUUUAAGUAAUUACAUACAGGGAUUAACAAUAUAUACACAAUUGCAAAAAUAAAGUUGAAAAUCCCCAAA
This 206-nucleotide unclassified non-coding RNA is filed under the name Melitaea cinxia (Glanville fritillary). RNAcentral's name for it is "misc RNA ENSMCXG00005013719.1". Lineage: Eukaryota; Metazoa; Arthropoda; Insecta; Lepidoptera; Nymphalidae. The record is from RNAcentral.